This 500-nucleotide ribosomal RNA is filed under the name uncultured bacterium. Its description in RNAcentral is "partial 16S ribosomal RNA". It matches the Rfam family "Bacterial small subunit ribosomal RNA", at positions 30 to 523 of the family's 1533-position model. The record is from RNAcentral.
AUUGAACGCUGGCGGAAUGCUUUACACAUGCAAGUCGAACGGCAGCACGGGGGCAACCCUGGUGGCGAGUGGCGAACGGGUGAGUAAUACAUCGGAACGUGCCCAGUCGUGGGGGAUAACGUAGCGAAAGUUACGCUAAUACCGCAUACGAUCUACGGAUGAAAGCGGGGGACCGUAAGGCCUCGCGCGAUUGGAGCGGCCGAUGUCAGAUUAGGUAGUUGGUGAGGUAAAGGCUCACCAAGCCGACGAUCUGUAGCUGGUCUGAGAGGACGACCAGCCACACUGGGAUGGAGACACGGCCCGGACUCCUACGGGAGGCAGCAGUGGGGAAUUUUGGACAAUGGGCGCAAGCCUGAUCCAGCCAUUCCGCGUGCAGGACGAAGGCCCUCGGGUUGUAAACUGCUUUUGUACGGAACGAAAAGGCUCUGGUUAAUACCUGGGGCUCAUGACGGUACCGUAAGAAUAAGCACCGGCUAACUACGUGCCAGCCGCCGCAGUAA